This 486-nucleotide ribosomal RNA is filed under the name uncultured bacterium. Its description in RNAcentral is "partial 16S ribosomal RNA". It matches the Rfam family "Bacterial small subunit ribosomal RNA", at positions 30 to 507 of the family's 1533-position model. The record is from RNAcentral.
AUUGAACGCUGGCGACAUGCCUUACACAUGCAAGUCGAACGGCAGCACGGGUGCUUGCACCUGGUGGCGAGUGGCGAAUGGGUGAGUAAUACAUCGGAACAUGUCCUGUAGUGGGGGAUAGCCCGGCGAAAGCCGGAUUAAUACCGCAUACGAUCUACGGAUGAAAGCGGGGGACCUUCGGGCCUCGCGCUAUAGGGUUGGCCGAUGGCUGAUUAGCUAGUUGGUGGGGUAAAGGCCUACCAAGGCGACGAUCAGUAGCUGGUCUGAGAGGACGACCAGUCACACUGGGACUGAGACACGGCCCAGACUCCUACGGGAGGCAGCAGUGGGGAAUUUUGGACAAUGGGCGAAAGCCUGAUCCAGCAAUGCCGCGUGUGUGAAGAAGGCCUUCGGGUUGUAAAGCACUUUUGUCCGGAAAGAAAUCCUUGGCCCUAAUACGGUCGGGGGAUGACGGUACCGGAAGAAUAAGCACCGGCUAACUACGUG